GACGAGCUCUGGCGGCGUGCUUAACACAUGCAAGUCGAACGGAAAGGCCUCUUUCGGGGGGUACUCGAGUGGCGAACGGGUGAGUAACACGUGAGUAACCUGCCCUUGACUUUGGGAUAACUUUAGGAAACUGGGGCUAAUACCGGAUAGGAGCUCCUGCUGCAUGGUGGGGGUUGGAAAGUUUCGGCGGUUGGGGAUGGACUCGCGGCUUAUCAGCUUGUUGGUGGGGUAGUGGCUUACCAAGGCUUUGACGGGUAGCCGGCCUGAAAGGGUGGCCGGCCACAUUGGGGCUGGGAAACGGGCCAGACUCCUACGGGAGGCAGCAGGGGGGAAUAUUGCACAAUGGGGGGAAGCCUGAUGCAGCAACGCCGGGGGCGGGAUGACGGCCUUCGGGUUGUAAACCGCUUUCGCUCAUGACGAAGCUUUGUGUGACGGUAGUGGGUAAAGAAGCACCGGCUAACUACGUG
This 467-nucleotide ribosomal RNA is filed under the name uncultured bacterium. RNAcentral describes it as "partial 16S ribosomal RNA". It matches the Rfam family "Bacterial small subunit ribosomal RNA", at positions 28 to 507 of the family's 1533-position model. The record is from RNAcentral.